RNAcentral lists this ribosomal RNA (767 nucleotides) under Priestia megaterium. Its description in RNAcentral is "bacterial SSU rRNA". It matches the Rfam family "Bacterial small subunit ribosomal RNA", at positions 35 to 785 of the family's 1533-position model. Lineage: Bacteria; Bacillati; Bacillota; Bacilli; Caryophanales; Bacillaceae. The record is from RNAcentral.
GUGUGCGGGUGCUAAUACAUGCAAGUCGAGCGAACUGAUUAGAAGCUUGCUUCUAUGACGUUAGCGGCGGACGGGUGAGUAACACGUGGGCAACCUGCCUGUAAGACUGGGAUAACUUCGGGAAACCGAAGCUAAUACCGGAUAGGAUCUUCUCCUUCAUGGGAGAUGAUUGAAAGAUGGUUUCGGCUAUCACUUACAGAUGGGCCCGCGGUGCAUUAGCUAGUUGGUGAGGUAACGGCUCACCAAGGCAACGAUGCAUAGCCGACCUGAGAGGGUGAUCGGCCACACUGGGACUGAGACACGGCCCAGACUCCUACGGGAGGCAGCAGUAGGGAAUCUUCCGCAAUGGACGAAAGUCUGACGGAGCAACGCCGCGUGAGUGAUGAAGGCUUUCGGGUCGUAAAACUCUGUUGUUAGGGAAGAACAAGUACAAGAGUAACUGCUCGUACCUUGACGGUACCUAACCAGAAAGCCACGGCUAACUACGUGCCAGCAGCCGCGGUAAUACGUAGGUGGCAAGCGUUAUCCGGAAUUAUUGGGCGUAAAGCGCGCGCAGGCGGUUUCUUAAGUCUGAUGUGAAAGCCCACGGCUCAACCGUGGAGGGUCAUUGGAAACUGGGGAACUUGAGUGCAGAAGAGAAAAGCGGAAUUCCACGUGUAGCGGUGAAAUGCGUAGAGAUGUGGAGGAACACCAGUGGCGAAGGCGGCUUUUUGGUCUGUAACUGACGCUGAGGCGCGAAAGCGUGGGGAGCAAACAGGAUUAGAUAC